This 294-nucleotide unclassified non-coding RNA is filed under the name rhizosphere metagenome. Its description in RNAcentral is "partial ribosomal RNA internal transcribed spacer region". The record is from RNAcentral.
GUAGGUGAACCUGCGGAAGGAUCAUUAUUGAAAUAAACCUGAUGGGUUGCUGCUGGCUCUCUCGGGAGCAUGUGCACACUUGUCAUCUUUAUAUCUCCACCUGUGCACCUUUUGUAGAUCUGGAUAUCUUUCUGAAUGCCUGGCAUUCGGGUUUGAGGAUUGACUUCUGUCUUUUCCUUACAUUUCCAGGCCUAUGUUUUCUUCACAUACACCAUUUAUGUUAUAGAAUGUAAUGAAAGGGCCUUUGUGCCUACAAACCUUAUACAACUUUCAGCAACGGAUCUCUUGGCUCUC